Long non-coding RNA from Equus caballus (horse), 3551 nucleotides. NCBI's taxonomy places the organism in Eukaryota, Metazoa, Chordata, Mammalia, Perissodactyla, Equidae. The record is from Ensembl.
CUCAGUCCCACAAGACUGCACCCCUCCCUAUCCCCCCCUUCAGACACCAAUCUGAGGUUGUUACCUGUGCUUCUGACCAACCGGCUAUGGAUCGGAGAUUCCCAUGACCCUCUCCCGGGGUUCAAUUCAUUUGCUAGAGCAGCUCACAGACCUCAGAGGAACAUUUACUUGCAUUUACCCCUUUAUUAUAAAGGAUAUUGUGAAGGAUGCAAAUGAAUAGCCAGAUGAAGAGGUAGAUAGAGGUGAGGUCCAGAAGUGUCCUGAACGCCGGAGCUUCUGUUUCCGUGGAACUGGGGUGCACCACCCUUCAGGCAUGUGGAUGCUUCACCAACCUGGAAACUCAUGAAAUCUUGUUCGAGAGUUUUCACAGGGCCAGCCCAGGGGCCCAGCAGUUAAGUUUGCACAUUCUGCUUUGGCAGCCCGGGGUUUGCCGGUUCAGAUUCCAGGUGUGGACCUAUGCACUGCUUGUCAAGCCAUGCUGUGGCAGGGAUCCCACAUGGCAAGAUGGGCAUGGAUGUUAGCUCAAGGCCAGUCUUCCUCAGCAAAAAGAGGAGGAUUGGCGGCAGAUGUUAGCUCAGGGCUAAUCUUACUCAAAAAAAAAAAAAAAAAAGUUUUUAUAGAGCUUAAUCUGGAGCACCCCCACAUCCCCUUCUCAGAGGUGGGUGGUGCUGAAAGUUCCAACCCUCCAGUCAUUUUUGCUUUCUGGGGACCAGCCUUAUUCUGAGGCUAUCUGAGGGUACUUGAAGUCACCUCAUUCCUGUAAGAUCAAAAGGGGCUCUUGUAACGGACAAAUGACACUGUGGUCACUGGAGAAUCCCAAGGGUUUGAGGAGCUUUGUACUAGGAACUGGGAACAAAGACCAAAUAUAUUUCUUAUUAUACCACACUCACUUAACAUUAGCAAAUCCGUCAAGUGCAUGUCAGCAAUGGGUUGGCUAAAAUUUGGUUUAGCAGAGAUAAAUGUAAGAUUUCAGUCGUUAUACUCUUUCAGGAAGGAGUCAGUCUUACCCAGUGACCAAUUCCAAGCUCCAACCUGACUCUUAGGCAACAAUGAGGAACACUUCAUUUGAGCCUAUAGAUAUUUGAAAACUUUGAUGUUCAAGGUCCGUAAAAUAUUGGAAGUGGUUUUCACUCUGAGACUUCCCUUGUGAAAAUAGUGCUUUGUAAUGUUCAUGAUUCCCUGCUCUCUGUUUCCUCUCUCUGUGAUCUUAUCGUUAUUCAAAACCUGGACCACUAUGUGUAGUCCUGUCCCUAAACUCCCACAAAGAUUUAAAGGUGUUGGAGUAGAUCUAGAGAAAGGCAGCCAGACUGUUCCUCAUCUUUGUUUGCUUGUACCUGGCAUAGUGCCUGGCACUUGAGUUCCAUAAAUGUUUAUUCAAAUGAGUUAAAUUAAAAUAAAUUCAAGUGAUAGAUCCCAAAGUUAUAUAGUACAGUUAUUGAAAUUUGCUCUCAAGGGGCCGGCCUGGUGACACAGCAGUUAAGUGUGCACAUUCCACUUCUCAGCGGCCUGGGGUUCACCAGUUCGGAUCCCGGGUGCAGACAUGGCACCGCUUGGCACGCCAUGCUGUGGUAGGCGUCCCACAUAUAAAAUAGAGGAAGAUGGGCAUGGAUGUUAGCUCAGGGCCAGGCUUCCUCAGCAAAAAAGAGGAGGACUGGCAGUGGUUACCUCAGGGCUAAUCUUCCUCAAAAAAAAAAAUUAAAUUAAAAAAAAAUUUGCUUUCCAGAAGUGGCAUAAAGGGAAAAUAAAAAUAUUUUAAACACAUUUAGAAAUAUUAGUGGGGUGACUACAGUAGGAGUCUCUGAUCUUCUGAAAGUAUAUAUGUAACCCAUGAGUUGAUGUCUGGGAGAGCACUGUUCUCUCCCACAUUUUAUACUACUGGAGGACCAUAGCCCUGACCAAAUGGGACUAUUUUUAAGUUAUACUCUUAAAUUAAAAAAAAAGGUAACAUCAAUUCUUUAAGUACAUGUACUUAAAGUACAUUGUUAAUGUAAUUAUUCUGUUAUGUAUAAAACUAUGAUACAGUGUUAUUUGUGAAAUGGCCUUUCUUCACUUACUACUGUGGAAACAAACUAAUAAAUGCUUCUUUUAAAAGAAUGAAUCUCCUUUCAAAAAAAGGAAUCAACUUUGGAAGAUUGGCCCUGGGCUAACAUCUGUGCCCAUGCUCCUGUAUUUUGUAUGUGGGUCACUGCCAUAGCAUGGCUUGAUGAAUGGUGUAGGUCCACGCCUGGGAUCUGAACCCGCGAACCAGGGCUGCCAAAGUGAAGCACGCUGAACAUAACCACUACACCACCAGGCCAACCCCCAGAAUCAAUUUUUAAUUAAAAGGAAACUAUGGAGCAAAUCACUUGAAACUUAAAAUACUUUAUAUAUUCAAACAAUGAAUAAACUUUGUGCUAAUUCUUUAUCUGUGCUAAUAUGCAGUGGUUCUCAAGCCAGGGCAUUGCUACCUUCUAAUCCACAUUUGGAAAUAUAUUUGGGAACAUUUUUGAUUGUCACAAUGACUGGGGCAUGCCACUUAUAUUUUAUGGGUGGGGCCCAUAAAUUAUAAACACUGUAGUAUAUUAUUAUAAACAGUAUAGUAUAUUAUAUACUAUACAUUAUAGUAUAUAGUAGAGACAGAAAUUAUAGUAUAAUAUACUAUAUUGUGCUAUAUAUUAUAUAAAAUGGAGGACAGUGUAUUGUAGUAGAGUAUAAAGAAAGAAUUGUUCCAUUCAAAAUGCCAGGAGCUAAGCAAAGAAUGUUUGUUAAUUAAAUUAAGCUAAAGUUGCAAAUAAGACUAAACUGUACUUUCUUUAUUAAAAGUGACAUAUUUCUUUGAAAACCGUGUAGUGUGUUAAAUUAAAUGGGGAGGCCAUUCGACUGAGGUGGCUGUACAGCCACUUACAUAGCAGGUAGGUGCCACCUCACGCAGCAGCCUACAUAAGCAAACCAGAAUCUAAGCCUGUAAGUGCCUCAAGGUUAUGAAAUCGAAACCUAAGGACAACCAAUCACAGCCAGCUAGUCUUUAAACUAUAGCCAAUCGAUGCUUUCGUUGCUUUGCUUUUGCCUUUUCUCCGUGAAGGUCACUCCCUGAGCUCCUGUUGGCGGAGCACUCCUUACCCCUUCAGGUUUGGUGCUGCCCGAUUCAAAUCGAUUUUUGCUCAAAUAAACUCUUAAAACUUUUAAUGUGUCUCAGUUCAUCUUGAAACAAGUGUAAAGGGAUAAUAUUACUUGUUUUAUUCACCUGAAACGUAGAACCGUUAUGUCUGUAUAGAUGUCAAGAUUUGUAAUAAUUGUGGAAUGUUAAAGCGUGCCUCAGUGAUGGUUGUUAAUUGUAUGAUUGUUGUUAGUCAAUUAUUAACAUACUCCCCUGUGGGUACUACUAUCAUAAUUUCAGUUGCCCUGCACUGUGCUGUUGUCUGUUUGGCUCUCCCUCUCUAGGUCAGUCACCUCGAAGGAGGAACUUCCAAUUCGUCUUCCAAUUAUCAGCGCUAAGCAUACUACCCGAAAAAGAGUACCAAUAAAUGUGGAUAUGCAAGCACUGCAUCUAACUCUGUAGUCUUGAAUUUUGG